RNAcentral lists this ribosomal RNA (264 nucleotides) under uncultured bacterium. RNAcentral's name for it is "partial 16S ribosomal RNA". It matches the Rfam family "Bacterial small subunit ribosomal RNA", at positions 793 to 1055 of the family's 1533-position model. The record is from RNAcentral.
GUCCACGCCCUAAACGAUGUCAACUGGGUGUUGGGGAAGCGAUUCCUAAGUACCGUAGCUAACGCGUGAAGUUGACCGCCUGGGGAGUACGGCCGCAAGGUUAAAACUCAAAGGAAUUGACGGGGACCCGCACAAGCGGUGGAUGAUGUGGAUUAAUUCGAUGCAACGCGAACAACCUUACCUACCCUUGACAUGUCCGGAAGCUCGCCGAGAGGCGGGUGUGCACGAAAGGGAAUCGGAACACAGGUGCUGCAUGGCUGUCGU